This 1846-nucleotide long non-coding RNA is filed under the name Salmo salar (Atlantic salmon). RNAcentral's name for it is "lncRNA (ENSSSAG00000091920.1)". Lineage: Eukaryota; Metazoa; Chordata; Actinopteri; Salmoniformes; Salmonidae. The record is from RNAcentral.
GGGAGUUACUGCUCUUAUCAUGUAGUCAUUAAUCCUCUUUGUUUCAAUAAGGUUAGGGUUAGGGGAAGGGUUAGGAAAAGGGCUAAGGUUAAGGUUAGGAGAAGGGUUAGGAAAAUUGUUAAGGUUAGGAGAAGGGUUAGGAAAAGGGUUAAGGUUAGAAAAAGGGUUAACUAAAAGGGUUAAGGUUAAGGGAAGUGUUAACUAAAAGGGUUAAGGUUAGGGGAAGGGUUAACUAAAAGGGUUAAGGUUAGGGGAAGGGUUAACUAAAAGGGUUAAGGUUAGGAGAAGGGUUAACUAAAGGGGUUAAGGUUAGAAAAAGGGUUAACUAAAGGGGUUAAGGUUAGGAGAAGGGUUAACUAAAAGGGUUAAGGUUAGGAGAAGGGUUAACUAAAAGGGUUAAGGUUAGGGGAAGGGUUAACUAAAGGGGUUAAGGUUAGGGGAAGGGUUAACUAAAGGGGUAAAGUAACCAUCUGUACAUUUACUAUGCUACGUCUAGUCUAUGAGACCUGGCUGGAUAUACUGACCACAAGUUUGACCCACUGCAGUAAAUACAUGGCACACCAUAUACCAUGUCUGCCAAACAGACUUUCCCUCCCAGGUCAUUCAAUAAUGAGUUAAUUAAUCACAUCGUGAUUCUCACUGAAGCUGUACAUAUAAUCAAUGAUUUUCUAAAUGGCCUUUGUGUGAUUGUAAAGUGCCACAUGCAUUGGGCCAUAUUAUAUUGUAGUUCUAGUUGAAUCCAUCCAUCCAUCAAUAUGUUCGGACCAUAACUAGACAGAUAAUGUGAUGACACAAAUUCCUUGUUUAUAACUGCCACUAAACACGCCGUGACCUUCCUCCUGAUCUUGUCCGUUUACACUUAUAUCACAAUGAUCACAAUGCGUCUUUUCAUCAUCUACACCUGUCUAAUAAGGUGGGCACAAUCAGAAUGUGGACAUGAUCCGGACACAGGACGCAUGUUAGAACCAGGUUAAACGGGGUUAGGGAGUACUGGAACCACAGUGUGUCAUAACUCAGAGGUUUAGCAUGAUCAUUGGCUGAUAACAGGGAAAGUGGUGCCGUCUGAUAAAAGGGAAAGUGGUCUAUCUCUGAUCUCAUCCUGUUGACUAAUGUCUCUCCCAAGGUGGCUGUGCUGCACUACAGACCAAUGAGAUACAAUGAGUGGACAAAACAUUAGGAACAUUCCAUAACAGACUGACCAGGUGAAUCCUGGUGGAAGAUAUGAUCCCUUGUUGAUGUCACCACUUCAAUCAGUGUAGAUGAAGGGGAGGAGACAGGUUAAAUAAGGACUUAUAAUCCUUGAGACAAUUGAGACAUGGAUUGUGUAUAUGUAACAUAUUAUUUCCACAGUUUAUCAGCGUGCGCCCAAGAUGUUCCCUUCAUUGAUGAUGCUUGUUAUGCUUUAUGUUUGAACCAAAAGAUUACGUGUUACAAAGAUGAAGUGAAAAGGAAACAAUGAAAUACUGUAUAUUAAAUGAAAUAAUAUUGUAUGUUGAGGUUAAUACUAUGUACAAUAUGUAGCAAUAUGAUAUUGAAAACAACAGCCUGAGAAAUUCAACAUGCUGUAAACUAUUGUCUUUUAAAAGAUUCACUUUGUCAUCCUCAUCACCCUAAUUACAACCCUAAUUACUAUGACACACUCCUCUCUAUUGUCAUUGGUUGCACUAAUUGCACUGUUUGUCAACAUAACCUGGUUCACACAUUCAUGACAUCACCCUGAAGAAGACACAGUGAUGCUGAAACGGUGGUUUAUCCAAUAAAUUACUGGGAGCCUUUAUAUAGUGUGUGUAACUCUCUUUAUUUUUAUUGCAGACACAGAUUGCCCCUUUAAGAGGUUUGAUUCCCA